RNAcentral lists this long non-coding RNA (1940 nucleotides) under Canis lupus familiaris (dog). RNAcentral describes it as "lncRNA (ENSCAFG00845030413.1)". The record is from RNAcentral. Lineage: Eukaryota; Metazoa; Chordata; Mammalia; Carnivora; Canidae.
UAGAAUUGACCAUGGGGAAAUAUGGAGGGUUAGCAGGUCACUUUGGGCUGGAUCUUUAGGGGUUAUUAAAGAAAUACCCCUUUUCUCCAACUGUAGCAUCUUGUCUUCCCUGCCCCUACAGAGGUGUCAUGAGCAGUGCUUUGUGAUGCCCAAGCCACCUCAACACAAUCGUUGGCUAGGGGAUCUCCCUGAUGACCAAACAAAGCUGAAGGCGUGGCUCCUCACUGGUCAGCAGGCCUGGGGCAGACCACUGAGAGGCUUUAACAUGGCUGGUAAGAUCUGUGCACCAGAGGAGACUAGCACAAGUAUGAAACAAUCAAACAAAAGCAUGAAACAGCCAGCCCCAAGAAUCAGAAAAAAGAAGAGUUCUUGUCGACCAAAGCCCAGAGCCAGUGGCAAGGUGCAGAAGAAAACCACAAAGCCAAAAAGACCUCUUCAAAGGAAUUUGAGAAAAAAAACUCCUCGAGCAUCCCCUUCUUCCUUAAGAAUGCCUAACACAGCAAUAAGGCCAACGAUAUUCAUCUGUUACCACAAGCUGAGUGAGAAACAAAAUGAAAAUGAGCCGAGAGGGAAUAAGAAGCACUGGAAAAUCCAAAAGUUCCAAGUAACAUCCUGUACAGCUAGCAAAUGCCAAGCAUGGGCUAGAAACCUUGCAUCUUCUGAAGCAGCUGUGGAGAACUGGUCAAACACAUAAAGAUCAAAUCUGGAGCAACAGGGUACACAGAUUGAUAAAAGGAAAGUCAACAAGUUGUGAAAAGGCAAUGUGUUUGUGUGUCUAUGACAGAUGAAGGGGAAAAAAUGAAGAGACAGGCAUGUGAGUAGAGAGGGAGGUGAGGUCCUGGACGGUUGGGGGCCAGACUGGCAGGUCCACAGUUAGCCAGACAUGGGGAUAAGGACUGCAUGAGGACUGAGAACUAAACACAAAUAUUCUCAGCAGUUUGUCCCACAGGCAAGAAGAAAAAGAGCUUUGGUGGUUCUAUGUGUGUUUGGUGUAGAGACGGGGCACAAAGUCAGAGCUGAGAUUGCCAGAACCCAGAUGGGAAGAGGGUUUAAUGCGUGGUGGGUGACAAUGACACUCCUCCUAAAACAGUAGACAACAAAAGCACCUUCAGGUCACCUAACCACCUCCGGGUGACGUAUGCCAUUGUGGUGUGCAUUGUACCCCACCCAGUGCUGUAAGCCACCAAAGGCCUUCAGAGAGACAAAAUCUCACCCUAUAGAAAGUCACCAACAGCACCCCCACACACUAAAAUAAUGGUGUUUGGAGGCCACAAAUGCAAGAGCAAUUAAUUAGGCUAUUUUCUUGUUACGAAGGUUUGGGUGGAGGAAUGGCCUACCAUGGGUAGGGCAGUGGGAAUGGUCUGCCCACCUGCAGGCAAUAAAAGGAAACAGCAAAAAAACAAAACAAAACAAAACAAAACAAAAAACAAAGAGGAAACAGUGUCCACAGAGAAUUUUAAUAUAAGAACAACAAAACCCAGUAAAAGGCAAUCUUGUUUUUAUUAGCACCAUAAUCAACCAUUUCUAAAUUUUAAUAUAUAUGUAAGGUCCAAAUUAGCCAAUUUUUAGAAUGCAUGUUUUAAUAAUCAUCUUAUUCUACAAGGAAGUUACUUUGACAAAUUCUUGUCAAAUAGUUGGUCCCAGGGAGAGGCUGUUCUUUUCUAAAGUAAGUUCUUAACCAUUUAGAAUCAUUUGAGCUUGCUUUGAGCACACUUCCAGACUGCGAUCCCUGUGGCCAUAUAUAAUACACAUAACCCAUAUUUUUAAAAAUAUUUUAUUUAUUUAUUCAUGAGAGACACACACACAGAGAGAGAGAGAGGCAGAGACACAGGCAGACGGAGAAGCAGGCUCCAUGCAGGGAGCCCAACGUGGGACUCGAUCCCGGGACCCCAGGAUCAUGCCCUGGGCUGAAGGUGGCGUUAAACCAUUGAGCCACCCAG